This 435-nucleotide ribosomal RNA is filed under the name Polycirrus norvegicus. Its description in RNAcentral is "partial large subunit ribosomal RNA". It matches the Rfam family "Bacterial large subunit ribosomal RNA", at positions 1830 to 2517 of the family's 2925-position model. Lineage: Eukaryota; Metazoa; Annelida; Polychaeta; Terebellida; Terebellidae. The record is from RNAcentral.
UGCCUCAUGAAUAAUAAUAAGAGGUCAAUCCUGCCCGGUGACUAAAAAGUUAAACGGCCGCGGUACCCUGACCGUGCUAAGGUAGCGUAAUAAAUCGCCCUUUAAUUGUGGGCUUGUAUGAAUGGACAAACGAGAGAGACCCUGUCUCUUAAAUAAAAAUAAAAAUUAACCUUCAGGUGAAGAGGCCUGACUUUAAUUAAAGGACAAGAAGACCCUGUAGAGCUUAACUUAAUACUACUAAACCUUUAUAAUUAAUACUACUUUAAUUUAUUACUAUUUCUUAAGUUUAGCUGGGGCGGCUAAGGAAAAUACAUCUUCCAUUUACCAUUUACGGGUUAUAAGCCUCUUUCAAUUGACCCUACAAAGAACAAAAACCCAAGCUACCUCAGGGAUAACAGAUUAAUCCUUCUUAAGAGUUCGCAUUGACAGAAGGGC